AUGGUCAAGCUAAUAAGAGCGCAGGGUGGAUGCCUUGGCACUAAGAGCCGAUGAAAGACGUGAUAAGCUGCGAUAAGCUGCGGUGAGGAGCAAAUAUCCUUUGACCCGCAGAUUUCUGAAUGGGGAAACCUGGCGGAGUAUUCCUCCGUUACUAUUAAGUGAAUCCAUAGCUUAAUAGAGGGAACCCGGGGAACUGAAACAUCUAAGUACCCGGAGGAAAAGAAAGAAAACUCGAUUUCCAAAGUAGCGGCGAGCGAAAUGGAAACAGCCUAAACCGAAGAAUUUAUUCUUCGGGUUAUGGACCGCAACAAGUGAGUCGUACGGUAGCAGAAUGGUUUUGGGAAAGCCAGCCAGAGAGAGUGAAAGCCUCGUAAGCGAAACCGGAAGACAGCGAGCGGGAUCCGAAGUACCACGAGACACGAGAAACCUUGUGGGAAGUCGGGGGGACCACCCCCAAGGCUAAAUACUACUUAGUGACCGAUAGUGCAUAGUACUGUGAAGGAAAGGUGAAAAGAACCCCGGGAGGGGAGUGAAAGAGAACCUGAAACCCUGUGUUUACAAGCUGUGGAACACCUAUUUAAAGGUGAACCGCGUACUUUUUGUAGAACGGUCCGGCGAGUUACAUUUACUGGCAAGGUUAAGGUCGAAAAGACUGAAGCCGAAGGGAAACCAAGUCUGAACAGGGCGAAUUUAGUCAGUGUAUGUAGACCCGAAACCGGGUGAUCUACCCAUGUCCAGGUUGAAGCUGCCGUAAAAGGUGGUGGAGGACCGAACACACAUCCGUUGAAAAGGGUGGUGAUGAGGUGUGGGUAGGGGAGAAAUUCCAAUCGAACCCGGAGAUAGCUGGUUCUCCUCGAAAUAGCUUUAGGGCUAGCCUUGAUUUAGUCUGAUGGAGGUAGAGCACUGAAUAUCCUAGGGGGCGUCAAAGCUUACCGAAGAUUAUCAAACUCCGAAUGCCAUACAGAUGAUGAUCAGGAGUCAGACUACACGAGAUAAGUUGGGUAGUCAAAAGGGAAAAAGCCCAGACCACCAGCUAAGGUCCCAAAGUGCGUGUUAAGUGGAAAAGGAUGUGGGAUUUCGAAAACAACUAGGAUGUUGGCUUAGAAGCAGCCAUACAUUAAAAGAGUGCGUAAUAGCUCACUAGUCGAGAGGUCCUGCGCCGAAAAUGUCCGGGGCUAAAACACGACACCGAAGCUGUGGAAAAUGUCUGUCUUUCAGACAGCCAUGAGAAAUAAUCCUUACGGAUUAUUUCCGGUUAUCUGAAGGGCAGAGGUUUUGGUAGAGGAGCAUUCUUAACUGCGACGAAGCGUUACCGGAAGGAGACGUGGAGUGUUAAGAAGAGAGAAUGCCGGAAUGAGUAGCGAGAUAGAAGUGAGAAUCUUCUAGGCCGAAUAUCCAAGGUUUCCAGAGUAAAGCUGAUCUGCUCUGGGUAAGUCGGGACCUAAGGCGAGGUCGAAAGACGUAGUCGAUGGACAACAGGUUGAAAUUCCUGUACCUUAUGAAAACAGAACUGUGGGGACGCAGAGAGAAAGCCAGAGCCGGGAAUGGAAAGACCGGUACAAGCGGGGUAGUAGUCAGACAGGCAAAUCCGUCUGAUAAUACGAAGACGUUAAGUGGACCGAAACUUAAAGUAGGGAAGCUGGUGAGCUAACUGCCAAGAAAAGCCGCUAUUGUUUUUCAUAAGCCCGUACCGUAAACCGACACAGGUGGAUGAGGAGAGAAUCCUAAGGCCGACGGGAGAAGCAUUGUUAAGGAACUCGGCAAAAUAACCUCGUAACUUCGGGAGAAGAGGUGCCUGUAGCAAUACAGGCCGCAGAGAAUUGGCCCAAGCAACUGUUUAGCAAAAACACAGGUCUAUGCAAAACCGAAAGGUGAAGUAUAUGGGCUGACGCCUGCCCGGUGCUGGAAGGUUAAGGGGAGAUGUUAGGAGCAAUCCGAAGCGUUGAACUUAAGCCCCAGUAAACGGCGGCCGUAACUAUAACGGUCCUAAGGUAGCGAAAUUCCUUGUCGGGUAAGUUCCGACCCGCACGAAAGGCGUAAUGAUUUGGGCACUGUCUCGACAAUGCACCCGGUGAAAUUGAAAUACCAGUGAAGAUGCUGGUUACCUGCGCCAGGACGGAAAGACCCCAUGGAGCUUUACUCUAGCUUGAUACUGGGAUUCGGUAUUGCAUGCACAGGAUAGGUGGGAGGCAAAGAAGCUACGACUCCGGUCGUGGUGGAGCCGCUGUUGGGAUACCACCCUUGCAGUAUUGGAUUUCUAACAUGUGCCCGUGAUCCGGGCAGUGGACAAUGUCAGGUGGGGAGUUUGACUGGGGCGGUCGCCUCCGAAAGGGUAUCGGAGGCGCUCAAAGGUCUUCUCAGAAUGGUUGGAAACCAUUCGCAGAGUGCAAAGGCAUAAGAAGGCUUGACUGCGACACCGACGGGUGGAGCAGGUACGAAAGUAGGACUUAGUGAUCCGGUGGUAUAAAGUGGGAUUGCCAUCGCUCAACGGAUAAAAGCUACCCUGGGGAUAACAGGCUUAUCACUCCCAAGAGUUCACAUCGACGGAGUGGUUUGGCACCUCGAUGUCGGCUCAUCGCAUCCUGGGGCUGUAGUAGGUCCCAAGGGUUGGGCUGUUCGCCCAUUAAAGCGGUACGCGAGCUGGGUUCAGAACGUCGUGAGACAGUUCGGUCCCUAUCCGGCGCGGGCGUAGGAUAUUUGAGAGGAGCUGACCUUAGUACGAGAGGACCGGGUUGGACGAACCGCUGGUGGAUCGGUUGUACUACCAAGUGCAUGGCCGAGUAGCCAAGUUUGGAAGGGAUAAACGCUGAAGGCAUCUAAGCGUGAAGCCCCCCUCAAGAUAAGAUAUCCCAUAGCGUAAGCUAGUAAGACCCCUUGAAGACGACAAGGUGGAUAGGUUAGAGGUGGAAGCACAGUAAUGUGUGGAGCUGACUAAUACUAAUAGGUCGAGGGCUUGACCAAA
RNAcentral lists this ribosomal RNA (2962 nucleotides) under Anaerocolumna sedimenticola. RNAcentral describes it as "Anaerocolumna sp. CBA3638 23S ribosomal RNA". It matches the Rfam family "Bacterial large subunit ribosomal RNA". Lineage: Bacteria; Bacillati; Bacillota; Clostridia; Lachnospirales; Lachnospiraceae. The record is from RNAcentral.